ACCCGCUGAAUUUAAGCAUAUAAGUAAGUGGUGGAAAUUAAACCAAAUGGGAUAUCUUUAGUAAUUGCGAAUGAACAAGGAUAUGCUUAGCUUGACAAAUGGAGCUAUUGGCUUUGAAUUGUAUUGUGGAAAUGUAUUACCAACAGAGGUGCAGGUGCCAGCCUAUUGAAAUAAAGCGUCAAUGAGGGUGAGAAUCCUGUUUGUCAUGUGCAGCCCUCUGUGCACGGUGUAUAUUUGCUGAGUCACACUCCUUGGCAUUGGAAUGCAAAGUGGGUGGUAAGUUUCAUGUAAAGGUAAACAUGCAAUUGAGACUGAUAGCACACAAGUACCAUGAGGGAAAUAUGAAAAGGACUUUGAAAAGAGAAUUAAAUGAGUUUGUAUUUGCUGAACACAAAGUAAACAGACUUGAUUUGCUUGGUGGGAGUGUUGCACUUGCUUGACAAGAGCUUUGGGCUGUGGGUGUAAUGAUUCUUUCUUUGCAUGCCAGUUUCUAUUUGUACAUCUGAUUACCUUUGCACAUGAAUGAUAAGACUCCUGUGGGGGGUGGAUUGCAUGUGCAUGUAAUGAUUUGUGCUUUGAUAAAUGUGUCUGGUGUAUGUGUGUGUUCCUGUGCUUGGGGAUGCUUCCUUCCUUGGACUUACAAGCCCUGACACACACAUGCUGGCAAAAUGCUUCUGCUUGACCCGUCUUGAAACACGGACCAAGG
RNAcentral lists this ribosomal RNA (706 nucleotides) under Alexandrium tamarense. Its description in RNAcentral is "LSU rRNA". It matches the Rfam family "Eukaryotic large subunit ribosomal RNA", at positions 23 to 671 of the family's 3401-position model. Lineage: Eukaryota; Dinophyceae; Gonyaulacales; Pyrocystaceae. The record is from RNAcentral.